RNAcentral lists this non-coding RNA (21 nucleotides) under Caenorhabditis elegans. The record is from RNAcentral. Lineage: Eukaryota; Metazoa; Nematoda; Chromadorea; Rhabditida; Rhabditidae.
UGGACUACUGAUUCUCCUCAC